Molecule: ribosomal RNA, 262 nt
Filed under: uncultured bacterium
Lineage: Bacteria
Description: partial 16S ribosomal RNA
Source: RNAcentral
UAGAGUUUGAUCCUGGCUCAGAUAAGUCGUAACAAGGUAACCGUAGGUCGUAACAGGUAACCGUAGAGUUUGAUCCUGGCUCAGUUUGUGAAGCCUUACGUUAAGUCGUAACAAGGUAACCGUAGAGUUUGAUCUAGGCUCAGUAUAAGUCGUAACAAGGUAACCGUAAGUCGUAACAAGGUAACCGUAGGUCGUAACAGGGUACUGUAGAGUUUGAUCCUGGCUCAGUGACUGGGGUGAAGUCGUAACAAGGUAAUCGUAA